AUAAUAUGCUAGGGGUGCUUAUUGCUGAGAAGGUAGAACCUAACCCUAAGAACCUGAUAUGGUUAAUACCAGCGGAGGGAAGCUUUGAUAAUUAUGA
Molecule: non-coding RNA, 97 nt
Organism: Clostridium sp. CAG:221
Lineage: Bacteria; Bacillati; Bacillota; Clostridia; Eubacteriales; Clostridiaceae
Source: Rfam